RNAcentral lists this ribosomal RNA (424 nucleotides) under uncultured Stichotrichia. Its description in RNAcentral is "partial Eukaryotic small subunit ribosomal RNA". It matches the Rfam family "Eukaryotic small subunit ribosomal RNA", at positions 140 to 578 of the family's 1831-position model. Lineage: Eukaryota; Ciliophora; Spirotrichea. The record is from RNAcentral.
GGAAUAACCGUAGUAAUUCUAGAGCUAAUACAUGGGUGGUGCCCGACUUUUGGAGGGCAGUAUUUAUUAGUUUGUCUUGCCUGGGGGUAAUGCCUUUUGGUGAGUGAUGAUAACUGGUCGGAUCGCUUAGCAGUUGCGGCGACGGAUCAAUCAAGUUUCUGCCCUUUUAACUGUCGAUGGCAGGGUAUUGGCCUGCCAUGGUCGCGAUGGGUGCGGAGAAUUGGGGUUCGGUUCCGGAGAGGGAGCGAGCGUAUCGGCUCCCAGUUCUAAGGAUCGCAGCAGGCGCGAAACUUACCCAAUGCAGGCGCUGCGAGGUAGUGACCAUACGUACCAGUGCGGGGCUCUGCUCUGCAACCGGAAUGAGCACACGACAAACAGGAUAGCGAGAACCCAUUGGAGGGCAAGUCUGGUGCCAGCAGCCGCG